This 204-nucleotide unclassified non-coding RNA is filed under the name uncultured Capronia. Its description in RNAcentral is "sequence contains ITS1". The record is from RNAcentral. Lineage: Eukaryota; Fungi; Ascomycota; Eurotiomycetes; Chaetothyriales; Herpotrichiellaceae.
CCGAGUUAGGGUCUCGUCCAACGAGCCCGACCUCCCAACCCUUUGUCUACCAUACCUUGUCGUUGCUUCGGCGGACCGGUCCCGACCCCCCGUGGGUCGCGACCGCCGGGGACUCGUCCCUGGAGAGCGUCCGCCGAUGGCCCAACCACAAAACUCUUGUACCAAACCAUGUCGUCUGAAUUACUUGAUUAAAAUCAAAAAACA